This is a long non-coding RNA of Salvia splendens (bonfire salvia), 370 nucleotides long. RefSeq lists it as uncharacterized. The transcript has 3 exons. NCBI's taxonomy places the organism in Eukaryota, Viridiplantae, Streptophyta, Magnoliopsida, Lamiales, Lamiaceae. The record is from RefSeq and is a predicted model, not a curated record.
UCUUCCCCUCCCUCACACGCCUCUCCUCUCCCUCACUCUCCAUCCUCUCCAAAAACUUCUUCCACCUUUGUUCUUUCUUCAAUUAGAGUGGAUUUUUCAAGAAUUUCCGACGAAUCGUGUCAACGUUUGCUUCUACCGUUCGUUUUCUUGAUUCAAGAAGGGUGAUUGAGUAUACGUAUGCUCGAGGAACGAGAGUUGCAUAAGUUGGAAUUGUGUUGUUAAGCAAUCGAGGUUGAGCGGGAUGUUGCGGAGGAUGUUGAGUUGGCCUUAGGAAGCGUUGUGUCUUCGUACAUAGGCGUUAUCAUUGACUCUCUUUAAACCUUAUUUCCGCUGCUAUGCUAUAUUAAUAACUAUGUCUCAAGACUUUAAA